AUCUUCGGGCGCUUCACCUUCCCACAACUUCGGCUAGUGGCGACGCGACGGAAUAGAAGAAGAGAAGCAGACAGGGGAAUCAGAGACACCGGUGAGUCAGACAAACGGAGGAGAAGGAGCGAAGGAAGAGGCUAGGUCUCGAUCCUAAACAUCGUUCAAGAAGAGACAAUUGGAGGGAGAGACUAGGUAUCACCACCGGAGCCACUAAAGGAUCAAACAACCCAUAGAAAAGAAGAGAUAGACAGCAUAGUCCAUACCAAACGGGAGAAACAUCAACAGGCCCAGGAGGCACAGACGGAAAACACGGUCAACUUCUUCAAGGACUCCACAAGCUGCAACAAGAGCUACUGUUAACGAAGUCAUCCUACCUGGAUGGUUGUACUGUACUGUGUUUUUUAACACUUCCCGUAGUCUAGCAGCAAAUGGAACUUGACUGGUGUUCGUUGAACUAGACGUCUAGAUACCCACUAGCCUCCUCCUCCAUCCUUCCUUCUUUACCCUCGUUCUUCUAGAUACCUCUGUAGUGUCCCAUGAGCUCAGACUCGAAGCAAAGACGUAGGUACCGCCACCAACACAAACACUAGCUCCUUCCUCCUCCUUCCUUCUUCUGGAUCGCUAGCCACGUACUCAACCUAGGUCAACAUAAUCACAUCACCCACAACGAAUGGUCCAAUCCGGAUAAAAUUGAAAACCCCAUUUGUCUUCCGUCUUGUGCUGUUGUGUUUCACAGACGCCACCUAGUCAAACAAAAGAACAACCCGACUAGCCCGACUAACUGACUGGUGUUUAGUCUCAGUCAGUGAAAAAG
This 808-nucleotide ribosomal RNA is filed under the name Triticum aestivum (bread wheat). RNAcentral describes it as "partial small subunit ribosomal RNA". Lineage: Eukaryota; Viridiplantae; Streptophyta; Magnoliopsida; Poales; Poaceae. The record is from RNAcentral.